CUCAUACCAACCUCAGGAAAUGUAUAAGCAAAUAUUUGGGGAAGACAAGAAAAUAUAUCUAGAGUCGUUUCACAUUCAUCAUUAAUUUCUAUUCUCCCAUUCCAAUUCAUCUCAUCUUCAAUGUCACCCUUCAAUUUUCCAGGUAAUCAAUUAAAGUUUAUGCUGAUUUCUCUCUUUCGCGUUUCAAUUUCAAUCCCGGUUCAAGAUAAAAAAUAACAACAACAAAACACUCGAAUCAAAUCUCUACAUGAUCUCUCGCUCAUUCUCAAUCCUCAAACGCAUGGAUUCAACAAUCAAGAGCAAAGAAGAAACGAACCCUAAACCCAUCAAAUCCUAUACCCCAUAUUUGAUAUACAUGGUGAAAAAAUGAAGAUGCAACAACAACUUACAAACAAAAGAUAAAAACGAAUUCGAAAAGGGUCGGGUACGUGGAAUGGUUGAUCUUCUAUUCUCAAAUCCUCUUCUUGUUUAGGUUGCGGGAGUUCAAAGCGGUUUAGUGAAGGUGCUGAUGAUUUGCGGUUAUGGUUUGUGAUGAGAGCAAGCCUGUAGUAACAUUGACAGGGAAGAAAAGGAUGUGAAUUAAAUGGUUUUUUUCGAAGUUUGUUCUUAUCAAGGUUUUGGUUGGUCUGAUUUAGGUGAAUGAUAUUGAAUUUUGAUUAAUGAGUUUAGUUUUGUUUAUUAUGGUUUACAGUAUUUUAUAGAUAUGGUGUAACGGAGAAAGCUCAUGAUUUUGGCCUGUUGAUGACAGCAGAAAGCUCAAGAAAGGCAUUGAAGAGUUCUACAGGUUGAACACAAUUUUUAACAUAAGCUACUCAAAAUAGCUUCACAUUUCAAAAUAGCUUAACAUUUGAGACGAUUUUUAAAGAUUUCUGAUGGAGUCCAAGUAUCUGAAUGGAGAUUCAGGUAAUGAUUUUGAUCAUUUUCAGGUAAUGAUUUUGGUCCCGAUGUUUGCGCAUAAUGGAAUCUCAGGUAAUGAUUUUGAUCAUUUUCAUUAGAAUAGAACAAUUCUAUGUAAAUGUUGCAGAGAUUGUGAAACAUAACUAAUGGAAAAACAACAAUAAAUAUUAUAUAGUAUAAAUCACUUUAUUUGAAAUUAAUGUAGCUGUCAUUUUAGUAUUGAUUAAUUUAUCAAAGUUUAAUCUCUCCGAUUUUGAUUGAUUUCUGUAACUUAAUAUUUAUUUUGUCCAGAUUCUUUAAAUGGACACUUAUUCUCCAUACAUUAUUCUCAAAGAGUUGUGUAUUUAAGUAUGUGGAUAAGGACUUUAUGCUAUCACCGACUUAAUCUUCUGGAACAAGUAAUUAUAAUUUUAAGUUUCUGAGUAUGUCUAAGAAAGUAUAGGAUAUGCAUAUACUUUAAUCACAGGAAAAAUUAGUUGCUUUGGCAGUUUUUGUAUGUACUCGAUAAUUCAUUCUUCAUUUGAUGCUAAACGUGGAUAAGGAAUGUCUCGCCCAAAAGAGUGAUCUUCAUCGAGACUUUUUCAAUGUUAGGAAAGUUGAUACUCAUGUCCACCUCUCAGCAUGCAUGAAUCAGAAGCAUCUUUUAAGGUUUAUAAAUUCUAAGCUUAGGAUUGAACUAGGCGAGAGCUUGCGAUUUUCACGGUGAAAGAAAUGGAUUUGGCUUUGGCGGCUGAUCUGUUAUCACUUCAAAGACUCCCGGUUAUUGUUGGUUUCGGCUACGCAGUGGUGUUGGCUUUGACGGCCAGCAGGUACACUCCAACAGGAUGGAUCUGUUAAAGUUGCCUUAUAUAAUAAUGCAGUUUCUACCUUAUUGCUAUAGCAUCACUAAAGAAAAGGAGUAAGAAGAGAUGGUAAAUAAUUAUAUCUAGGAAUGAAUUCGUAGAAUUAUAAUUUCUCUAAACGAAAAAGGGAUUUUGAAGAAAAUGAGGCAAAAUUGAAAGACAAAGGAGUUAAAUCAUAAUAGUGUAGCAUAUACUAUUUGUAUCUGUAUCAUAAGAUUGUAAAUUUUAAUAUGUUGCAUCAGAACAUUUGGAGUAACCAUGAAACUAAUUCCAAAUAGAUUAUGGAAAUGAUGUAUAUUUUUUU
Vicia villosa (hairy vetch) is the source of this 2043-nucleotide long non-coding RNA. RefSeq lists it as uncharacterized. The record is from RefSeq and is a predicted model, not a curated record. NCBI's taxonomy places the organism in Eukaryota, Viridiplantae, Streptophyta, Magnoliopsida, Fabales, Fabaceae. The transcript is spliced from 5 exons.